AGCGUACUAAUAAAUAUGUAUUUUUAAGUUCGUUGUGUUAUUAAAAAAAUAAUUCUGUUUCUGUGCUGUUUGUAUGAGGUCUAAAAAUUGUUUUAUGUUGGUCAAGAAGUUACCUCAAAUGCUGUUGGUUUUGUGUUUGUGUUUUGUUACUUGCCACUCAAGUGUGACAAAGCUAAGUAAAAUAGCCGGCCAACCGCACGGUCACGUGCCAGGAAGUUGUACGUGCCAAGAAUUAAAAAAAUGGAGUAGAGUAAUGUAGCAUAGUGUCAAGCAUAAGCGGACUAAAUGGCAAGUCAAGUAACCAAAAGCAUAGAAUUCACAGCGACCAGCAAAGGUCGUAAAGCUGGCAUUGCUUGACGGCUCUUUGCAGUCAGCUGACGAAACUGUAAGACAUUUUUAAAUUUCAAUGUCAAAAAGAAUGUAGCGCACUUUUAUGGGCGAGGGCAUCAACUGCUGUUGCGUUGCACACAUUCGGAUAAUUUUACAACUGGCCAGUAAAUUUUGCCAAAAAGGAGCAAGCACGCACAAUCAGCGCCAGCUGUGGCCUGUGGAAGACAUCAAACUGUAAACUUUAGUUGUCGGACUGCCGAAAACCUUUCCCAGCUGCUGUCGCAUCUCUGUGUGGAUCAAGUCACGUGGUAUUUGUCAGUGCUCCUGAGUGCACAUCAGAAGGUGUAAAAGUUUUCGCCAAAGUUCAAGAAUCUUGGCUCCUUUUAAUGAGCUUUUUGUGCGAAAUUUAAUGGCAGCCAAAAAAGUUUUUAUAAUUAGCCGGAGGAUUAGUUUUACAAAGAGAGCUAAGCAACUAAGGCAGCUUUGCGCAGCAUGGCAGAUGUAGAAAAAAUUGUGUGAUAUAAUUAUGCAACUUGCACUUUUCUUAAGUUUGCAUAUAAUAUUGAUAAAAUAGUCAUAUUUAAACAUUUGCUUAAAUAUAUUUAUACGCAUAUAGCUCGAACAGUUAUUUAACUCCGCUCGAAAAGUUAAGAAGAAAAAUGUCAGAAUAAAUUGUAGAUAGAAAUUAUUGACUAAGAAAAUUUUAGUUAAUCUUCGGAUGACCUGUCUGUCGUAAAAUGUUGUAAAGUUUGUUUUCAAAGAUCCUUUGCCUAAGUUUCGGCCCUAACCUAAUUAUGCAAGUUAAAGAAAUAAUUAAUUCAAACUUCAAGUUAAGUUUUAAGUCUGACUGCUUUGAAUGAAAUAAAAGUACAAGAUAUUAGGUAAAAUUAAAAGUUUUUUUUGUUUGCUUAAAAAAUUGAGCUUAAAAUUGUUCGUGUAUUUGAUUGGCAUUUCCCUAAAAAUUUAAAAAAUAAAUAAAUUUUUUUCCACCUCGUUAAAGUGGCCAUCCAUUA
This is a non-coding RNA of Drosophila virilis, 1343 nucleotides long. The record is from RefSeq and is a predicted model, not a curated record. Lineage: Eukaryota; Metazoa; Arthropoda; Insecta; Diptera; Drosophilidae.